UGCAGAGCAAAUACAAAACAUUUACAAUCUGAGUAAAUGUUGUGGAUUUUAUUUAGUUUUUACAGCGCUGCGCGAUGAGCCUCGAGACUCCGCGUGGUAUUUUAACAGUUCACCACUAGAGGGCAACACAGCCUCACUGCAUUUUAGAACUGCUCGUUCGUGUUCAGUUUGUUGUCCUUCCACUGCGAGAUGAAGGCCUCUCCCCUUGCCAUCACCGCCCAGCGCCUCCUCGACACACGAUCCAUCUCCUCGGUGUCCGACCUAUCCCCUGGCUGCCCGUCCGCCACUAUCCAGAGCACGGUUGGCUAUGUACGCCACCGUCUGCGCACGAAGCUGCCCCCGCAGGGACCGGGCGCGUUUGAACUCCAAGGCGGCGCGAAAAGAAAUAAAAUCACCGUGAAGACGUUUGGCGCGAUGAGCGGGGUUCGACAUUUUGUCUUUAUUACGUGAUUGUCUUUAUUAGUUCAAAUUAAGAAGACCUUAGGUGGUGGUGGUGGUGGUGGAGGGGGG
Non-coding RNA from Petromyzon marinus (sea lamprey), 510 nucleotides. The record is from RefSeq and is a predicted model, not a curated record. Lineage: Eukaryota; Metazoa; Chordata; Hyperoartia; Petromyzontiformes; Petromyzontidae.